CCUACGGGAGGCAGCAGUGGGGAAUAUUGGACAAUGGGGGGAACCCUGAUCCAGCCAUGCCGCGUGUGUGAAGAAGGCCCUCGGGUUGUAAAGCACUUUCAGUGAGGAAGAACGCCUGGUGGUUAAUACCCAUCAGGAAAGACAUCACUCACAGAAGAAGCACCGGCUAACUCCGUGCCAGCAGCCGCGGUAAUACGGAGGGUGCGAGCGUUAAUCGGAAUUACUGGGCGUAAAGCGCGCGUAGGUGGCUUGAUAAGCCGGUUGUGAAAGCCCCGGGCUCAACCUGGGAACGGCAUCCGGAACUGUCAAGCUAGAGUGCAGGAGAGGAAGGUAUAAUUCCCGGUGUAGCGGUGAAAUGCGUAGAGAUCGGGAGGAAUACCAGUGGCGAAGGCGGCCUUCUGGACUGACACUGACACUGAGGUGCGAAAGCGUGGGUAGCAAACAGGAUUAGAUACCCUAGUAGUC
Molecule: ribosomal RNA, 465 nt
Filed under: Vreelandella stevensii
Lineage: Bacteria; Pseudomonadati; Pseudomonadota; Gammaproteobacteria; Oceanospirillales; Halomonadaceae
Description: partial 16S ribosomal RNA
Rfam family: Bacterial small subunit ribosomal RNA
Source: RNAcentral